CGCCUUGCCAGCCCGCUCAGAAACUUAAAGGAAUUGACGGGGGCCCGCGACAAGCGGUGGAGUAUGUGGUUUAAUUCGAUGCAACGCGAAGAACCUUACCUGGUCUUGACAUCCCGGAGACCCUUAGGAAACUAGGGGUGCUUCCAUCUGGAAGAAUCUGGAGACAGGUGCUGCAUGGCUGUCGUCAGCUCGUGUCGUGAGAUGUUGGGUUAAGUCCCGCAACGAGCGCAACCCUUGCCUUUAGUUGCCAGCAGUUCGGCUGGGCACUCUAAAGGGACUGCCGGUGUUAAACCGGAGGAAGGUGGGGAUGACGUCAAGUCCUCAUGGCCUUUAUGACCAGGGCUACACACGUACUACAAUGGCCGAUACAAAGGGCAGCGACACUGCGAGGUGAAGCCAAUCCCGUAAAAUCGGUCUCAGUCCGGAUUGGAGUCUGCAACUCGACUCCAUGAAGUUGGAAUCGCUAGUAAUCGUGGAUCAGCAUGCCACGGUGAAUACGUUCCCGGGCCUU
This 511-nucleotide ribosomal RNA is filed under the name uncultured Desulfobulbus sp. RNAcentral's name for it is "bacterial SSU rRNA". It matches the Rfam family "Bacterial small subunit ribosomal RNA", at positions 903 to 1382 of the family's 1533-position model. The record is from RNAcentral. Lineage: Bacteria; Pseudomonadati; Thermodesulfobacteriota; Desulfobulbia; Desulfobulbales; Desulfobulbaceae.